GCGUCAGUAGUGCAACGGGUUAGAGUACGUGCUCCUGGAAAGAGUGAGAUGCGGGUUUGAGUCCCGCCUGACGCG
This is a non-coding RNA of Parelaphostrongylus tenuis, 75 nucleotides long. Lineage: Eukaryota; Metazoa; Nematoda; Chromadorea; Rhabditida; Metastrongylidae. The record is from the annotation of a GenBank genome assembly.